Molecule: long non-coding RNA, 1560 nt
Organism: Piliocolobus tephrosceles (Ugandan red Colobus)
Lineage: Eukaryota; Metazoa; Chordata; Mammalia; Primates; Cercopithecidae
Source: Ensembl
UUUCUAAUGAUAUAAAAAAUAUUUUUUUUCUACGUUAAUACAUUUAUUAUAUAGCAUUUUUUUUUUUUGUUGUUCUAAAUUAUUCAUUUAUUUGUUUUUUUAUCAUGAAGUAUUAUUUUUUAUACGCAUUGUUUUAUUAAGCACCUUUUUUUUAUUGUUUAGAUUGUGAGUACUUUUUUUUUUUUUUAUGAUAACUUUUUAUUUCAUUAUUUCAAAAUUUAAAAAUAUAAUUGUUUUAUUGUUUAAUGAUAAAAAGAAUUUAAUUAUAUUACUAUAAAAUAUAUAUUACUAAAAAUAUUCAAGUUAAAAAUAUAAAUAAAAAAAAAAUUAAAUAAUAUAGAAUAAUAUAUAAUUAUAUAAAAAAGAAAAUCUAUUUGUAACAUAUAAAAGACUAAUGAAAAAUAUGCAGUAAUAUCAUUAUUACUUAGUAAUUGCUAAUAAAAAAAAUGUUUACAACAAUUUAUAAAAUAAUUCUUGUUUUAUUUUUUGUAUGGGCAUGGACCAAUAAUAGUAAAGAUCACUUAGAAAAUAUAUUUAGCACACAGUAUGGUAGAUCACUGGCUGAACCUGAUAUUUUACAUAACGAGGAGAAUGCUCAAUCUAAUGUAGUAGAUUAUAACCAAAGUUCUGAAUAUAUUAAAAAUGAAGAAAAUUCUACAAAUAAAAGCGAUGAAGAAACCUUGCAAAUUGAUAAAUAUAACGAUAAAAAUUCAAUGUAUUUAUCCAAUAUGAAGCAAGAAUUAAUUAAAUUAUUAUCGGACCAAAAUGAUUCCAAAAUAACAAAUAUAUUGCAAAAUAAUUCAAACAUACAAAAAACAGAUUUACUACAUAUAUAUGAUCUUAUUAAACAUUUUAUUUCUGGUGAGAAAUAUUUACAAAUUAUAAAUAAAAGUUGUGAAUUAGCAACUAAAAAACAAUUUAAUCGUAAUACAAAUGCUGAAAAAUAUUACAACUCACUAUUAUACUUAUUGAAUACAUAUUUCUAUCUUGCUGAGAAUGAAAUAAAUUUUAAAAGACUGUCUAUGAAAUUACGUAAUGAUGGUUAUGAACGACCCAAAUUUAAAUCAAGUAAUUAUUUUAAUAUAUCUAAACUUUACAAAAGAAUAAAUAAACAAUUUAAAAUUAUGUUACUUAAACAAAUGAUAAAACAGGAAUUAGAUCCAACUGUUCAAUUGACUUAUAAAAAACGUUUUGAGCUACUUAGUUAUGGAUUUUUUUACCCACUAUCACUAUUUGUAAUUUCAAUUUUUACCUUACCAGUCUGGUCAAUUGGUCUUACGUUUACACUAAUAGGGAUGCUUCUUUACAUAUGUGUACAUUCUAAUUAUAAAAUAAUCAGAGAUGUACAUUUUGUAAAGCAAAUUAUGAAAAAAUCAAAACUAUUAGAUCAAAAAUAUUUGAAUUAAUUUGUACCUCAAAUUAUAACACAAAAAAAUAGUUACAAAAAAAAACAAACAUUAUUGUUUUUCAUUUGAAUAUGUUGUUUUUUUUAUAUUUAUUUAUUCAUUUAUUUAUUUAUCUUUUUUUUUUUUUAUGUCCCAUUUAGUAAUAAACACAACA